This 2616-nucleotide ribosomal RNA is filed under the name Rhodymenia pseudopalmata. RNAcentral's name for it is "LSU rRNA". It matches the Rfam family "Bacterial large subunit ribosomal RNA". The record is from RNAcentral. Lineage: Eukaryota; Rhodophyta; Florideophyceae; Rhodymeniales; Rhodymeniaceae.
AAAUCUUCAAAAUGGGCAUUUAAUGAAUACCUUGGUAAAAACUUUUAAGGACGCAGCGCAGCGAAAAUUGUAAGUAGGCUUUGGCUUGUUAUCUACAAAUUUCCUAUUGAGUAAACUUUUAUUUUAUUAAAAAAAUGUGAAUUGAAUCAUCUUAGUAACAUUGAAAAUAAAUCAAACGAGAAGUCGUUAGUAACGGUGAGUGAAAUCGACUAAAGCUGAAUAAUAUUAAAUUUGCGAAUUAUUUGCCUUAGAAGAUUAAAGCUCUGUAGCUUGAUUUAAUAAUUAUAUUUUUAAACUCUAAGUAAUACGAAAUUAAAUUUUGUAAGAAAAUAGGAGAUCCACCUUCUAAGCUUUAAAUAAGUUUUUAACCGAUAGUAUACGAGUAUCGUGAGAAAAAGGUGAAAAUUUCCGUUUUUAAGGAUAAUUUUGUAAUUGAAUGUUUAUAAGUUUUUCGGAGUUUUGUAAAAACAACGGAGUGCCUUUUGUAUAAUGAGUCAGUAAGUUAAUAUAUAUUGCGAGCUCAAAUACUAAUAUAAAGGCGAAUAAAUUAAGUGAUAUAUUUUAGACCUGAAACCGAGUGAUCUAGCUAUGAACAAGUUGAAAAUUCGUUAAAAUGUUUUUGAGGACUGAACUCACUUAUGUUGCAAUAUAGGGAGAUGAUUCAUAGUUUGGAGUGAAAGGCUAAUCAAACUCGGAUAUAGCCGGUUUUUCACGAAAUGUAUUUAAGUACUACGUUAAAUUAAGUUAACUUUAGGUAGAGUCACAAAAUAAAUAAGGGGGUUUAAUCACUUACUAAUUUUAUUUUAACUUCAAAUUAUAGUUAAAUAAUUAUUUAGCAGCCAGUCUAUAAGCGAUAAGGUUUAGAGACGAAAGGAAAACAAUCCAGAUCGAAUAUUAAGAUUUCAAAAUUAUAAUUUAGGGAAGAAGAUUUAAUAAAAAUCAAAUACAAAAAAUUGAUAGGCUUAGAAGCAGCCGUUCACUAGAGAUAGCGUUUUAGCUCAAUAUUUUGUUUUAUGUAAUCAAAAAUACAAAGAAACUUUAAAUUAUAUAUCGAGAUAACGAAUUUGUGUAAUGGUAGUGAAACGUUCUGUAAUAUUUAUAUAAUUGUAAAAUUAUAAAUUUUAUAUCAGAAAUGCUAAUGCUGACAUGAGUAGCGAAAAUUAUGUCUAAAAUCAUAAUCACUUUAUGUUUAAGGGUUUCAAUGUAAUUUUAAAUUCAUUGAGUUAGUCGGUCCUUAAGGGGUGAAUGAAAAUUGUACCCGAUAGGAAUUUAAAUUUUUUUUGAAACUGUCUAUAUGUAAUAAGAUUCUCUUACUAUGAAAGAAAAAUGAUUGGUAAUUUUAUUUUAUGAUUAGGUAUUAAAAUACUGUUGAUUUUUCCUGGAAAAUUAUAGACCUCAAAACCGUACUUAAACCGACACAGGUAAACUUGUUAAAGAAAUUAAAGUGUCUGAAAAAAUUAUAUUGAAGGAACUCGGCAAAUUAACUCUGUACGUUCGCAAUAAGGAGAGCCUUUAUAUCAAAAAGGUAUCAUAAAAGAAGAAGUAACGACUGGUUAACAAAACCACAGGACUCUGCAAAUUAUAAAAAAGUAUAGAGUCUGACGCCUGCCCAGUGCUUAAAAAUGAAAUAUUUAUGUUAAAGCUUAAAUUUUAAGUCUAAGUAAACGGCGGUUCUAACUAUAAGAAUCCUUAGGUAGCGAAAUUUCUUGGCGGGUAAAUUCCGUCCUGCAUGAAUGGUGUAACGAUUGCUUCACUGUCUCCAAUGUAAAUUCAGCGAAAUUACAUAACUCAUGAAAAUGUGAGUUACUUACAGUAAGACGGAAAGACCCUAGAUCCUUUACUUAAUCUUUAUAUUGAAGAAGUUAUUUUCUGUAAAAGAAUAUGUGGGAGUUUUUUAACAAAGUUUGAAAUACCACUCAGCGUUUUAAUAUUUUUCUCAACUUAUUUUUUUGAAUUUUUAAGGACCGUAUAAAGAAGAAAGUUUACUUGGGACGAGUGCCUCCUAAAAAGUAACGGAGGUGUACUAAGGCAAACAACACUUAUUUAACUAAAUUAAGGAAGCGUAUAAUAGCAUAAGUUUGCUUGACAAUUAGAUUUAUAAAUCAAGUUGAGAUGAAAGUCAGUUAUAGUGACCCAGUAUUUAAGUGUGGAAUUGAUACUGUUUAACAGUUAAAAGGAACUCUAGGGAUAACAGAUUCAUCGUGACUAAAAGUUCUUAUUGACGUCACGGUUUGAUACCUCGAUGUCGACUCAUCUUAUCCUGAAAUAGUAGUAAAUUUCAAGGGUCUAGUUGUUCGCUAGUUAAAAAGGUACGUGAGUUGGGUUCAGAACGUCGUGAGACAGUUCGGUCCCUAUCUACUGUAAGAAAAGAAAAAUAUAAGGAUCUAUUUUUAGUACGAGAGGAUCGAAAUAGAUUAACCUCUGGUGUAUUGAUUACUAAACCUUGUAGUAUUGUCAAGUAGCUAAGUUACUGAUAUAUAAGUAUUGAAUGAAUCAAAAAUACUAAAAACGCCUUUUUAUUUUUCAAGAAUAAUCUGAAAGACCAUCAGAUAAAUUGGCUUACAAAAAAUUUUAGCGAUAAACUUUUUACAAGUACAAAACAAUGUCAUUAAGAUU